AAGUCGUAACAAGGUUUCCGUAGGUGAACCUGCGGAAGGAUCAUUCAUAAUGAGUGUUUAUGGCACUUUUAAAAAUCCAUACCCACCUUGUGUGCAUCGUUAGUCAUGUUCCUUGUUCUCUCUUGAGGGAGCGAGGAGGCAGACUUCAAAUUAAUCUAUCUUUAACCAGUUUGUCUGAAGCAAUGUAUCAUGAGUUAACAUAAUUCUAAAAUACAACUUUCAACAACGGAUCUCUUGGCUCUCGCAUCGAUGAAGAACGCAGCGAAAUGCGAUACGUAAUGUGAAUUGCAGAAUUCAGUGAAUCAUCGAAUCUUUGAACGCACAUUGCGCUCUCUGGUAUUCCGGAGAGCAUGCUUGUUUGAGUAUCAGUAAAACACCCUCAACCUUUUCUUUAUUGAAAAGGCUGGACUUGAGUGGUCCCAACGGUUUUUUUAAAAGGCUGGCGGGUUGCUUGAAAUGCAGGUGCGGCUGGACACAUCUUCUGAGCUAUAAGCAUUACCUAUUUAGUCCCGUCAAACGGAUUAUUUCUAUUGCUACAGCUAAUAUAAAGGUUGAUUGUCCUGUGCCCGACUGAUGCAGGAAAACAUGGAGAAAUCCUUGUUCAACUCGAUCUCAAAUCAAGUAAGACUACCCGCUGAACUUAA
RNAcentral lists this ribosomal RNA (644 nucleotides) under uncultured fungus. Its description in RNAcentral is "eukaryotic LSU rRNA". The stretch from base 215 to 368 matches the Rfam family "5.8S ribosomal RNA". Lineage: Eukaryota; Fungi. The record is from RNAcentral.